Molecule: transfer RNA, 70 nt
Filed under: Camelus bactrianus (Bactrian camel)
Lineage: Eukaryota; Metazoa; Chordata; Mammalia; Artiodactyla; Camelidae
Also listed under: 2 other names
Rfam family: tRNA
About the family: Transfer RNA (tRNA) molecules are approximately 80 nucleotides in length. Their secondary structure includes four short double-helical elements and three loops (D, anti-codon, and T loops). Further hydrogen bonds mediate the characteristic L-shaped molecular structure. tRNAs have two regions of fundamental functional importance: the anti-codon, which is responsible for specific mRNA codon recognition, and the 3' end, to which the tRNAs corresponding amino acid is attached (by aminoacyl-tRNA synthetases). tRNAs cope with the degeneracy of the genetic code in two manners: having more than one tRNA (with a specific anti-codon) for a particular amino acid; and 'wobble' base-pairing, i.e. permitting non-standard base-pairing at the 3rd anti-codon position.
Source: Rfam by way of RNAcentral
GGAAAUAGCUCAAUGGCAGAGCACAUGCUUAGCAUGCAUGAGGGCCUGGGUUCAAUCCCCAGUAAUUCCA